Molecule: unclassified non-coding RNA, 211 nt
Filed under: uncultured Rossbeevera
Lineage: Eukaryota; Fungi; Basidiomycota; Agaricomycetes; Boletales; Boletaceae
Description: sequence contains ITS2
Source: RNAcentral
AAUUAUCAACCACACUUGGUCAUUCAUUGAUUAGACUUUUUGUGGAUUGGACUUGGGAAUUGCUGGCUUGUAAGAGAGUCGGCUGUCCUUAAAUGCAUUAGCAAGUGAAGUUAAUUUUACGUGCACGGCCUUUCUGACGUGAUAAUGAUCGUUGUGGGCUGGAAGCGUUUAAUUGAUGAAGGCUUGCUUCUAAAAUCAAUAGUAAAUUUUA